GGGGGCAUAGCUCAGUUGGGAGAGCGCCUAGCUUUGCAAGCUUGAGGUCGUCGGUUCGAUCCCGACUGGCUCCACCA
Molecule: transfer RNA, 77 nt
Filed under: Paracoccaceae bacterium
Lineage: Bacteria; Pseudomonadati; Pseudomonadota; Alphaproteobacteria; Rhodobacterales; Paracoccaceae
Description: tRNA-Ala
Rfam family: tRNA
About the family: Transfer RNA (tRNA) molecules are approximately 80 nucleotides in length. Their secondary structure includes four short double-helical elements and three loops (D, anti-codon, and T loops).
Source: RNAcentral